This 102-nucleotide Y RNA is filed under the name Microcebus murinus (gray mouse lemur). Its description in RNAcentral is "Y RNA (ENSMICG00000047594.1)". It matches the Rfam family "Y RNA". From Rfam's summary of the family: Y RNAs are components of the Ro ribonucleoprotein particle (Ro RNP), in association with Ro60 and La proteins. The Y RNAs and Ro60 and La proteins are well conserved, but the function of the Ro RNP is not known. In humans the RNA component can be one of four small RNAs -- hY1, hY3, hY4 and hY5. The record is from Rfam by way of RNAcentral. Lineage: Eukaryota; Metazoa; Chordata; Mammalia; Primates; Cheirogaleidae.
GGCUGGUUGGAAUGCAGUGGUGUUUACAACUAAUUGAUCACAACCAGUUACAGAUUUCUUUGUUCCUUGUUAACUUUCACUGCUUCACUCAAGUAGCCUUUA